GGAUUAGAUACCCUGGUAGUCCACGCCGUAAACGAUGUCAACUAGCCGUUGGGGAGAUUUAACUCUUUAGUGGCGCAGCUAACGCGAUAAGUUGACCGCCUGGGGAGUACGCCGGCAACGGUAAAACUCAAAGGAAUUGACGGGGGCCCGCACAAGCGGUGGAGCAUGUGGUUUAAUUCGAUGCAACGCGAAGAACCUUACCAGCCCUUGACAUCCUGCGAACUUUCUAGAGAUAGAUUGGUGCCUUCGGGAAUGCAGUGACAGGUGCUGCAUGGCUGUCGUCAGCUCGUGCCG
This 294-nucleotide ribosomal RNA is filed under the name uncultured bacterium. Its description in RNAcentral is "partial 16S ribosomal RNA". It matches the Rfam family "Bacterial small subunit ribosomal RNA", at positions 775 to 1067 of the family's 1533-position model. The record is from RNAcentral.